AAGCGCUGGUGGCCUAGCGGUAAAAGCGUGCGACUUGCAAUCCGGAGGUCGCGGGUUCAAACCCCGGCUCGAACCAAUGAGUUUUUCGGAACUUAUGUACGAAAUAUCAUUUGAUAUUUACCAGUCGCUUUUCGGGCCUAAUUUACCCUCUGGGUUGGGAGGUCAGAUGGCAGUCGCUUUCGUAAAAACUAGUGCCCACGCCAAUUCCUGGGAUUAGUUGCCAAGCGGACCCCAGGCUCCCAUGAGCCGUGGCAAAAUGCCGGGACAACGCGAGGAAGA
This is a long non-coding RNA of Cydia amplana, 279 nucleotides long. RefSeq lists it as uncharacterized. The record is from RefSeq and is a predicted model, not a curated record. The transcript is spliced from 2 exons. Lineage: Eukaryota; Metazoa; Arthropoda; Insecta; Lepidoptera; Tortricidae.